UGGGGAAUAUUGCACAAUGGGCGAAAGCCUGAUGCAGCAACGCCGCGUGAGUGAUGAAGGUCUUCGGAUUGUAAAGCUCUGUCUUUUGGGACGAUAAUGACGGUACCAAAGGAGGAAGCCACGGCUAACUACGUGCCAGCAGCCGCGGUAAUACGUAGGUGGCGAGCGUUGUCCGGAUUUACUGGGCGUAAAGGGUGCGUAGGCGGAUGUUUAAGUGAGAUGUGAAAUACCCGGGCUUAACUUGGGUGCUGCAUUUCAAACUGGAUAUCUAGAGUGCAGGAGGAGGAGAAUUGACUUCUAGUGUAGCGGUGAAAUGCGUAGAGAUUAGGAAGAACACCAGUGGCGAAGGCGAUUCUCUGGACUGUAACUGACGCUGAGGCACGAAAGCGUGGGUAGCAAACAGGAUUAGAUACCCUGGUAGUCCACGCCGUAAACGAUGAGUACUAGGUGUAGGAGGUAUCGACCCCUUCU
RNAcentral lists this ribosomal RNA (471 nucleotides) under uncultured bacterium. RNAcentral's name for it is "partial 16S ribosomal RNA". It matches the Rfam family "Bacterial small subunit ribosomal RNA", at positions 355 to 842 of the family's 1533-position model. The record is from RNAcentral.